UAACACGUGGGUAACCUGCCCUGAUGAUUGGGACAACCCGAGGAAACUCGGGCUAAUACCGAAUGUGCCCUCCGGCCAUAAGGCCGCUGGGGAAAGGAAGCUUCGGCCUCCGCAUCGGGAUGGGCCCGCGGCCCAUUAGCUUGUUGGUGAGGUAACGGCUCACCAAGGCGACGAUGGGUAGCUGGUCUGAGAGGACGAUCAGCCACACUGGGACUGAGACACGGCCCAG
RNAcentral lists this ribosomal RNA (229 nucleotides) under uncultured bacterium. RNAcentral describes it as "partial 16S ribosomal RNA". It matches the Rfam family "Bacterial small subunit ribosomal RNA", at positions 111 to 334 of the family's 1533-position model. The record is from RNAcentral.